Molecule: transfer RNA, 73 nt
Filed under: Mesocricetus auratus (golden hamster)
Lineage: Eukaryota; Metazoa; Chordata; Mammalia; Rodentia; Cricetidae
Rfam family: tRNA
About the family: Transfer RNA (tRNA) molecules are approximately 80 nucleotides in length. Their secondary structure includes four short double-helical elements and three loops (D, anti-codon, and T loops).
Source: Rfam by way of RNAcentral
GGAGAGUUGGCUCAGUGGUUAAGAGCACUUGUUAUUCUUGCAAAGGACCUGGGUUUGAUUCCCAGAAUCUACA